Long non-coding RNA from Zophobas morio, 497 nucleotides. RefSeq lists it as uncharacterized. The transcript is spliced from 2 exons. The record is from RefSeq and is a predicted model, not a curated record. Lineage: Eukaryota; Metazoa; Arthropoda; Insecta; Coleoptera; Tenebrionidae.
AGAAAAUCGUUUAUUUGUUCCAAAGAAGAGAUAAAUCAAUUUCUUAAGAAAAUGAAUGAUAAGGAUUUCUUAUUUUUGAAGUUUCAGGUUGUUUUGAUAGUCGGAGUGUUUGGUGCUUGUCGACACGAGGAGAUCACAAAUUUUACGACACGAGACGUUAGAGCCGAAAAAGAAUUUAUCAAGAUCACCUUACUGAAUUCAAAAACUAAAAUUAUGUAGAAUUUGCUAUACCGAGAGGAAAUUUUCAGGGAAUAAUUAACAUGUUGCUUGGUCAUAGAGGCUGGAAGUCGGAUAGCAUGGCAGAAGGAUAUGUUGAAACAUCUGUCGAAAAUAAGAAAAUAAUUGCUACGAAAAUAACGGGUUCUUCAGUUACUGUGGGUUCAACAAAUUAGGUCACGGUGGAGAAGCCCAGCUUCAACAUGGGAACAGCGUCUGGUGUUAACUUUAUAAAUGCUUCAAACUGUGUAAUUUAUGUUAAUAAAUGGUUUUGAAACUUU